GGUAAACAACCACUGUCCCAGACUAACAGACUGUGUAGAGAGGUAAACAACCACUGUCCCAGACUAACAGACUGUGUAGAGAGGUAAACAACCACUGUCCCAGACUGUGUAGAGAGGUAAACAACCACUGUCCCAGACUAACAGACUGUGUAGAGAGGUAAACAACCACUGUCCCAGACUAACAGACUGUGUAGAGAGGUAAACAACCACUGUCCCAGACUAACAGACUGUGUAGAGAGGUAAACAACCACUGUCCCAGACUAACAGACUGUGUAGAGAGGUAAACAACCACUGCUCAGGGCUAUCAGACUGUGUAGAGAGGUAAACAACCACUGUCCCAGACUGUGUAGAGAGGUAAAC
This is a long non-coding RNA of Oncorhynchus masou masou (cherry salmon), 360 nucleotides long. RefSeq lists it as uncharacterized. The record is from RefSeq and is a predicted model, not a curated record. Lineage: Eukaryota; Metazoa; Chordata; Actinopteri; Salmoniformes; Salmonidae. The transcript is spliced from 4 exons.